UACGGAGGGAGCUAGCGUUGUUCGGAAAUACUGGGCGUAAAGCGCACGUAGGCGGCGCAGCAAGUCAGGGGUGAAAUCCCGGGGCUCAACCCCGGAACUGCCCUUGAAACUGCAGUGCUAGAAUCUUGGAGAGGCGAGUGGAAUUCCGAGUGUAGAGGUGAAAUUCGUAGAUAUUCGGAAGAACACCAGUGGCGAAGGCGACUCGCUGGACAAGUAUUGACGCUGAGGCGCGAAAGCGUGGGGAGCAAACAGG
Molecule: ribosomal RNA, 253 nt
Filed under: uncultured bacterium
Lineage: Bacteria
Description: partial 16S ribosomal RNA
Rfam family: Bacterial small subunit ribosomal RNA
Source: RNAcentral